UACGGAGGGUGCAAGCGUUGUCCGGAAUCACUGGGCGUAAAGGGCGCGUAGGCGGCUCAUGAAGGCUGUGGUGAAAGUCCGGGGCUCAACCUCGGAUCGGCCGUGGCGACUCGUGGGCUGGAGCACUGUAGAGGCGGGUGGAAUUCCGGGUGUAGCGGUGGAAUGCGUAGAGAUCCGGAAGAACACCAGUGGCGAAGGCGGCCCGCUGGGCAGUGGCUGACGCUGAGGAGCGAAAGCGUGGGGAGCGAACGG
RNAcentral lists this ribosomal RNA (252 nucleotides) under uncultured bacterium. RNAcentral's name for it is "partial 16S ribosomal RNA". It matches the Rfam family "Bacterial small subunit ribosomal RNA", at positions 524 to 775 of the family's 1533-position model. The record is from RNAcentral.